CAGUAGCCGCGGUAAUACGUAGGGUGCAAGCGUUGUCCGGAAUUAUUGGGCGUAAAGAGCUCGUAGGCGGUUUGUCGCGUCUGCUGUGAAAUCCCGAGGCUCAACCUCGGGCUUGCAGUGGGUACGGGCAGACUAGAGUGCGGUAGGGGAGAUUGGAAUUCCUGGUGUAGCGGUGGAAUGCGCAGAUAUCAGGAGGAACACCGAUGGCGAAGGCAGAUCUCUGGGCCGUAACUGACGCUGAGGAGCGAAAGCGUGGGGAGCGAACAGGAUUAGAUACCCCCGUAGUCCCUGUCUCUUAUAC
RNAcentral lists this ribosomal RNA (301 nucleotides) under uncultured bacterium. Its description in RNAcentral is "partial 16S ribosomal RNA". It matches the Rfam family "Bacterial small subunit ribosomal RNA", at positions 509 to 807 of the family's 1533-position model. The record is from RNAcentral.